GGUUAAGCGACUAAGCGUACACGGUGGAUGCCCUGGCAGUCAGAGGCGAUGAAGGACGUGCUAAUCUGCGAUAAGCGCCGGUAAGGUGAUAUGAACCGUUAUAACCGGCGAUUUCCGAAUGGGGAAACCCAGUGUGAUUCGUCACACUAUCAUUAACUGAAUCCAUAGGUUAAUGAGGCGAACCGGGGGAACUGAAACAUCUAAGUACCCCGAGGAAAAGAAAUCAACCGAGAUUCCCCCAGUAGCGGCGAGCGAACGGGGAGGAGCCCAGAGCCUGAAUCAGCAUGUGUGUUAGUGGAAGCGUCUGGAAAGGCGCGCGAUACAGGGUGACAGCCCCGUACACAAAAGCGCAUGUGCUGUGAGCUCGAUGAGUAGGGCGGGACACGUGGUAUCCUGUCUGAAUAUGGGGGGACCAUCCUCCAAGGCUAAAUACUCCUGACUGACCGAUAGUGAACCAGUACCGUGAGGGAAAGGCGAAAAGAACCCCGGCGAGGGGAGUGAAAAAGAACCUGAAACCGUGUACGUACAAGCAGUGGGAGCACCCUUUGGGGUGUGACUGCGUACCUUUUGUAUAAUGGGUCAGCGACUUAUAUUCUGUAGCAAGGUUAACCGUAUAGGGGAGCCGGAGGGAAACCGAGUCUUAAUUGGGCGUUAAGUUGCAGGGUAUAGACCCGAAACCCGGUGAUCUAGCCAUGGGCAGGUUGAAGGUUGGGUAACACUAACUGGAGGACCGAACCGACUAAUGUUGAAAAAUUAGCGGAUGACCUGUGGCUGGGGGUGAAAGGCCAAUCAAACCGGGAGAUAGCUGGUUCUCCCCGAAAGCUAUUUAGGUAGCGCCUCGUGAAUUCAUCUCCGGGGGUAGAGCACUGUUUCGGCUAGGGGGCCAUCCCGGCUUACCAACCCGAUGCAAACUGCGAAUACCGGAGAAUGUUAUCACGGGAGACACACGGCGGGUGCUAACGUCCGUCGUGAAGAGGGAAACAACCCAGACCGCCAGCUAAGGUCCCAAAGUCAUGGUUAAGUGGGAAACGAUGUGGGAAGGCCCAGACAGCCAGGAUGUUGGCUUAGAAGCAGCCAUCAUUUAAAGAAAGCGUAAUAGCUCACUGGUCGAGUCGGCCUGCGCGGAAGAUGUAACGGGGCUAAACCAUGCACCGAAGCUGCGGCAGCGACACUGUGUGUUGUUGGGUAGGGGAGCGUUCUGUAAGCCUGUGAAGGUGUGUCGUGAGGCAUGCUGGAGGUAUCAGAAGUGCGAAUGCUGACAUAAGUAACGAUAAAGCGGGUGAAAAGCCCGCUCGCCGGAAGACCAAGGGUUCCUGUCCAACGUUAAUCGGGGCAGGGUGAGUCGACCCCUAAGGCGAGGCCGAAAGGCGUAGUCGAUGGGAAACGGGUUAAUAUUCCCGUACUUGGUGUUACUGCGAAGGGGGGACGGAGAAGGCUAUGUUGGCCGGGCGACGGUUGUCCCGGUUUAAGCGUGUAGGCUGGUUUUCCAGGCAAAUCCGGAAAAUCAAGGCUGAGGCGUGACGACGAGGCACUACGGUGCUGAAGCAACAAAUGCCCUGCUUCCAGGAAAAGCCUCUAAGCAUCAGGUAACACGAAAUCGUACCCCAAACCGACACAGGUGGUCAGGUAGAGAAUACCAAGGCGCUUGAGAGAACUCGGGUGAAGGAACUAGGCAAAAUGGUGCCGUAACUUCGGGAGAAGGCACGCUGACAUGUAGGUGAAGUGAUUUACUCAUGGAGCUGAAGUCAGUCGAAGAUACCAGCUGGCUGCAACUGUUUAUUAAAAACACAGCACUGUGCAAACACGAAAGUGGACGUAUACGGUGUGACGCCUGCCCGGUGCCGGAAGGUUAAUUGAUGGGGUCAGCGCAAGCGAAGCUCCUGAUCGAAGCCCCGGUAAACGGCGGCCGUAACUAUAACGGUCCUAAGGUAGCGAAAUUCCUUGUCGGGUAAGUUCCGACCUGCACGAAUGGCGUAAUGAUGGCCAGGCUGUCUCCACCCGAGACUCAGUGAAAUUGAACUCGCUGUGAAGAUGCAGUGUACCCGCGGCAAGACGGAAAGACCCCGUGAACCUUUACUAUAGCUUGACACUGAACAUUGAGCCUUGAUGUGUAGGAUAGGUGGGAGGCUUUGAAGUGUGGACGCCAGUCUGCAUGGAGCCGACCUUGAAAUACCACCCUUUAAUGUUUGAUGUUCUAACGUGGACCCGUAAUCCGGGUUGCGGACAGUGUCUGGUGGGUAGUUUGACUGGGGCGGUCUCCUCCUAAAGAGUAACGGAGGAGCACGAAGGUUGGCUAAUCCUGGUCGGACAUCAGGAGGUUAGUGCAAUGGCAUAAGCCAGCUUGACUGCGAGCGUGACGGCGCGAGCAGGUGCGAAAGCAGGUCAUAGUGAUCCGGUGGUUCUGAAUGGAAGGGCCAUCGCUCAACGGAUAAAAGGUACUCCGGGGAUAACAGGCUGAUACCGCCCAAGAGUUCAUAUCGACGGCGGUGUUUGGCACCUCGAUGUCGGCUCAUCACAUCCUGGGGCUGAAGUAGGUCCCAAGGGUAUGGCUGUUCGCCAUUUAAAGUGGUACGCGAGCUGGGUUUAGAACGUCGUGAGACAGUUCGGUCCCUAUCUGCCGUGGGCGCUGGAGAACUGAGGGGGGCUGCUCCUAGUACGAGAGGACCGGAGUGGACGCAUCACUGGUGUUCGGGUUGUCAUGCCAAUGGCACUGCCCGGUAGCUAAAUGCGGAAGAGAUAAGUGCUGAAAGCAUCUAAGCACGAAACUUGCCCCGAGAUGAGUUCUCCCUGAGACUUAAAGUCUCCUGAAGGAACGUUGAAGACGACGACGUUGAUAGGCCGGGUGUGUAAGCGCAGCGAUGCGUUGAGCUAACCGGUACUAAUGAACCGUGAGGCUUAACCUU
Molecule: ribosomal RNA, 2903 nt
Filed under: Salmonella enterica
Lineage: Bacteria; Pseudomonadati; Pseudomonadota; Gammaproteobacteria; Enterobacterales; Enterobacteriaceae
Also listed under: 1 other name
Description: bacterial LSU rRNA
Rfam family: Bacterial large subunit ribosomal RNA
Source: RNAcentral